This 556-nucleotide long non-coding RNA is filed under the name Physcomitrium patens. RNAcentral describes it as "long non-coding RNA (PPAT_LNC004378)". Lineage: Eukaryota; Viridiplantae; Streptophyta; Bryopsida; Funariales; Funariaceae. The record is from RNAcentral.
ACCUUCCGAUCUCCAAAAGCUUCCGUAAGACUCCUCUUAAACUCAAAAGAGUAACAGUAGGUCUUAAAUUGACACCUUAACUUCAAACGGCUAUAACUUAUUCAUCCUAACUCCAAACCCUAUAAAAUUUGCACAAAAAUUGUAGCCAAACCCCUAAAAUUUACAAUCCUUGCCUUUGAUUUCUUAAUGGCCUCUUUGAAGUCGCCGAAACCCUUAUCAAGGUCGCGGGCAGCCUCCUAAAAGCCCAUUGGGCAUGGAUUUCGACCAAUGGGGAUGAAGAUCCUUAUUUCUACCUUCAUCCAACCAUGCCUUGGUUUCAUCCCUCCCAAUUAACCUCCUAUUAGUUUAAAUCUUCAUCUUUAGGCCCCUAUCUCCUCUCAAGGCUUCAUACUUAACAUUAAGGUUCUAUAACUUUUAUUUACUAUAAUCAUACUAAAUAAGGAAAAUAAAAUAAAGUUUUUUCAUACCAACUCUUUUUAAUUUAAUCUAUUAUCUACUCUAACAUACAUUUAGAUUUAUUAACAUUUAAUGUGUUCUAACUAAUUUUUACAUGCUA